GGAGAGGGCUUGUGGCUUGGUGGAACAGCAACUGCUUAACAUGCAUAAAGUCCCAUGUUCAAUCCCUGGCAUCUCCA
RNAcentral lists this transfer RNA (77 nucleotides) under Sphaerodactylus townsendi. Its description in RNAcentral is "tRNA-Val". Lineage: Eukaryota; Metazoa; Chordata; Lepidosauria; Squamata; Sphaerodactylidae. The record is from RNAcentral.